GAGUAGGGAAUCUUCCACAAUGGACGAAAGUCUGAUGGAGCAACGCCGCGUGAGUGAAGAAGGGUUUCGGCUCGUAAAACUCUGUUGUUAAAGAAGAACAUAUCUGAGAGUAACUGUUCAGGUAUUGACGGUAUUUAACCAGAAAGCCACGGCUAACUACGUGCAG
RNAcentral lists this ribosomal RNA (166 nucleotides) under uncultured bacterium. Its description in RNAcentral is "partial 16S rRNA". It matches the Rfam family "Bacterial small subunit ribosomal RNA", at positions 352 to 510 of the family's 1533-position model. The record is from RNAcentral.